CCUACGGGCGGCAGCAGUGGGGACUAUUGCACAAUGGGGGAAACCCUGAUGCAGCGACGCCGCUUGGGUGACGAAGUAUUUCGGUAUUUAAAGCCCUAUCAACAGGGAAGAAGAUGACAGUACCUGACUAAGAAGCCCCGGCGGACUACGUGCCAGCAGCCGCGGUAAUACCUAGGGGGCAAGCGUUAUCCGGAUUGACUGGGGGUAAAGGGAGCGUAGGUGGCAUGGCAAGCCAGAAGUGCAACCCCGGGGCUUAACCCCGCAGAUUGCUUUUGGAACUGUCAGGCUGGAGUGCAGGAGGGGCAGGCGGAAGUCCUGGUGUAGCGGUGAAAUGCGUAGACAUCAGGAGGAACACCGGUGGCGAAGGCGGCCUGCUGGACUGUAACUGACACUGAGGCUCGAAAGCGUGGGGAGCAAACAGGAUUAGAUACCCUUGUAGUC
Molecule: ribosomal RNA, 441 nt
Filed under: uncultured bacterium
Lineage: Bacteria
Description: partial 16S ribosomal RNA
Rfam family: Bacterial small subunit ribosomal RNA
Source: RNAcentral